UUAGUUGGUUGCGUCACAGAAGGAGAGGUACGUAAUCUACGCCAAACUCCUGUGUUAUGAUUUAAUGUGUUCCAACAUGUUUCCCAUUCAUUCUUUUCAUGUCGUAUUUUGGUCAGUGGUUCAUUUUUUAACCUCAAGGUCUCCGAAUUUGUAAGUAGAGAUUUUCUCAGCCAGUAAUUUUCAAGAUAUUUAACGUGUACAUAAAGUACACCAGAUAUUCACACCGUGACUAUUCCAAGCUUUUCAUGAACUUAGAAAGCGAAUGCGAACACCAGCAGUUGAAUUACAUGACAUGUGUCGUUAUACAUGAUCCUGUCAAACACACUCUCAGGCAACGAAAUGCUUUGCGUGGGGCAUAUUUGGAUCAUGAGGACCCCGACACAAGAGGAUUGCAUGUGUACACGACGAUGGUUUUGCCUUCUGAAGGUGUCCCAUAUGAUUUCGAUCUGCUGCAAAAUUCAGCAAUAUAGUUCAAUUCCCUUCCUGUAUAUCUGUGCCCUGCAGAAAAUUGCACAUCCCGAACAUGCUCAAACGUAUAUUUGGAACGUUCAAAUGUUAGGUGUCUUCGACGACCACAUUCUAGACGACAGAAAUAGUAAAAGGAUUCACGUUCUACGUGACCGCUCUGUUUCUUACAGAAACCAGGACCUGAAGUAUUGAUCUUCACUUGAAUGGAAUAACCGCAGAUCUGUUUGUAGAAUCAGGAGCUGUAUAACCAGUUCUUUAAUACAAGGCUAUGUUUGGUCUCACGUGACUUCCAAGAGUUCCACAAAUUCAAUUGGGGGACGUAAUUGAGAGUACUUGAGUCAAGCAAUUUCAGCUAGUUAGACAUAUCCUUGCAGUUUUUCCGGUUGUAGGAAUAUGAACGGCUUCACAUUUUUUAACAGAACAUGACAUUUAUAGUUUGUUCCACAGGCCAGGCAAGAAAAUGUCUGUUUCCAUGUCGGAAAUGGUACAAGCGAAUGGUUCUGUCUUGUAGAUUCCAUAUAGAUUCCGAGUAUAUUCUAUUUUAAUGGGGAGUCAAUCUCAAGUUGCAUCUGUAGACGUGUUGACCUUUCACAGGUUGUUUCUCCUAACAUGACC
RNAcentral lists this long non-coding RNA (1083 nucleotides) under Physcomitrium patens. RNAcentral's name for it is "long non-coding RNA (PPAT_LNC013270)". Lineage: Eukaryota; Viridiplantae; Streptophyta; Bryopsida; Funariales; Funariaceae. The record is from RNAcentral.